GCGCCUAAGGAUGGGUCUGCGGCCUAUCAGGUAGUAGUGGGUGUAGCGUACCUACUAGCCUACGACGGGUACGGGUUGUGAGAGCAAGAGCCCGGAGAUGGAUUCUGAGACACGAAUCCAGGCCCUACGGGGUGCAGCAGGCGCGAAAACUUUACAAUGCUGGCAACAGCGAUAAGGGAACCUCGAGUGCCAGGUUACAAAUCUGGCUGUCGAGAUGCCUAAAAAGCAUUUCAUAGCAAGGGCCGGGCAAGACCGGUGCCAGCCGCCGCGGUAACACCGGCGGCUCGAGUGGUAACCGUUAUUAUUGGGUCUAAAGGGUCUGUAGCCGGCCGGAUAAGUCUCUUGAGAAAUCUGGCAGCUUAACUGUCAGGCUUUCAGGAGAUACUGUCUGGCUCGAGGCCGGGAGAGGUGAGAGGUACUUCAGGGGUAGGGGUGAAAUCUUGUAAUCCUUGAAGGACCACCAGUGGCGAAGGCGUCUCACCAGAACGGACCUGACGGCAAGGGACGAAAGCUAGGGGCACGA
Molecule: ribosomal RNA, 523 nt
Filed under: uncultured archaeon
Lineage: Archaea
Description: bacterial SSU rRNA
Rfam family: Archaeal small subunit ribosomal RNA
Source: RNAcentral